UACGAAGGGUGCUAGCGUUGUUCGGAAUUACUGGGCGUAAAGGGCGUGUAGGCGGCCUUAUAAGUCAGAUGUGAAAGCCCCGAGCUCAACUUGGGAAUUGCAUUUGAGACUGUAGGGCUAGAGUGCGAGAGAGGAAAGUGGAAUUACGAGUGUAGAGGUGAAAUUCGUAGAUAUUCGUAAGAACACCAGUGGCGAAGGCGACUUUCUGGCUCGCAACUGACGCUAAGGCGCGAAAGCGUGGGGAGCAAACAGG
RNAcentral lists this ribosomal RNA (253 nucleotides) under uncultured bacterium. RNAcentral describes it as "partial 16S ribosomal RNA". It matches the Rfam family "Bacterial small subunit ribosomal RNA", at positions 524 to 776 of the family's 1533-position model. The record is from RNAcentral.